This 460-nucleotide ribosomal RNA is filed under the name uncultured bacterium. RNAcentral describes it as "partial 16S ribosomal RNA". It matches the Rfam family "Bacterial small subunit ribosomal RNA", at positions 338 to 795 of the family's 1533-position model. The record is from RNAcentral.
CCUACGGGGGGCAGCAGUGAGGAAUAUUGGUCAAUGGACGAGAGUCUGAACCAGCCAAGUAGCGUGAAGGAUGACUGCCCUAUGGGUUGUAAACUUCUUUUAUAUGGGAAUAAAAUGUUCCACGUGUGGGAUUUUGUAUGUACCAUAUGAAUAAGGAUCGGCUAACUCCGUGCCAGCAGCCGCGGUAAUACGGAGGAUCCGAGCGUUAUCCGGAUUUAUUGGGUUUAAAGGGAGCGUAGGUGGAUUGUUAAGUCAGUUGUGAAAGUUUGCGGCUCAACCGUAAAAUUGCAGUUGAAACUGGCAGUCUUGAGUACAGUAGAGGUGCGAGGAAUUCGUGGUGUAGCGGUGAAAUGCUUAGAUAUCACGAAGAACUCAGAUUGCGAAGGCAGUUCACUGGACUGCAACUGACACUGAGGAUCGAAAGUGUGGGUAUCAAACAGGAUUAGAUACCCCAGUAGUC